RNAcentral lists this long non-coding RNA (5433 nucleotides) under Olea europaea subsp. europaea. Lineage: Eukaryota; Viridiplantae; Streptophyta; Magnoliopsida; Lamiales; Oleaceae. The record is from RNAcentral.
UGUGACAAAAAAUGUCUCCAGGAGAGUGCUGAGGAAGUAUAGAAGUCGUAGCUCUGAUCUUGAUGUCAAAGAAGAAAACAAGAGUCCUACCUCACUAGCUUUGAGGUAAAUGCAUUGUUAAAUUUUUUAACAUAUUUUAUAUAGUCUAGGUUACUUAACGUUCGAUUGAACUAGGAAUGACAAAUUGGCUCGCGGGCUCAAGCCGCCCGUGGCCUGGCCGAUAAAAAGGUUGAGCAAGCCUGGCUCAAAAUUUAGAAAAAAAAAAAAUUAAAACAAUUGGCUGUUGCCUUCAUAAGAAAGAAAAAAAUCAAGCUGGAUCGGUAAGGCCCGAGCCAAAGCUCCAGUCGGGCGUCAAUUUUUUGGCCAAACUUUUGCUCAGCUAGCACGAGCCAAAAAAAGCUGCUCGGGUCGUUGACACCCCUAGAUUGAACCCAUAUUCUGUAUUCCAUAUAUGUAUGAAAUUUUGGGUUACAUUUUACAACAAGUUGCUGUUGGUGUUAAAAUCGGUCUGAAUUUUUGAAUUACUUUGCUUGUACAUUGUUAAUUCGGUACUAUGAAUUUUUAAUGUGGUACAUUUUUUAAAUUUUGUACAAUAUGAUGCUUGAAGUUUUUUACAUAAUAUUUGACAUAUUACAUCGUAUAAAACAUUUAAUUUUUGCAUCAUAUAUAUGUAACAUGUGUGACAUCUAUCCCAUUGUUUAUGAAAUAGGUAAUGCUAAUUUUAUGAUUUUUUGCAAUGGUCCUUUGUACAUGAUAUUAACAUACAUUGUUACAUUUGAUCAUUUUGUACAGGAUUGUUCAUUAGUUAUGAAAUUUUUGUUAUAACUAUUAUGUGAACUGUUAAGUCGAAGGAUCAUUAAGUCUCAAAAAUGGAUCGUUUUGCAGUAAAAAAUAGAUUUGCAGAAAAUUAAAAAAAUCUAACACGAAGAUAUGUUUCACCCUAAAAAGGGCCUAGAUGUUCGAUCUUGCGACCUAGUCACCCGUUGAGCAUCACCAAAAGGUGAUAAAGCUCAAGAUCCACUAAGUAUCAACCAAGAACAGUAUAACAUGUACGAAGAAACCAAAGGUUUCUUCGAAUAUUCUUUCGCCUCUAUUCAAAACUGUAAUCCAACUCACUCUCAAUCACUAACAGACUAUAAAACACAAUCAGAAACCAUCACUAAGAUUACAGAUUGAGAAAUCACCAAGAACAUAUCGAAUUAUAGUAAACCAAGAACCCUAAUCUAUCACUCAGAGAAAAUGAGAGAGAGACGAAAGGUUGAAAGAGACUUCAAAUAAUCUAGAAUCAGGGCCAAAACCAAGUAAGUAUCUGAUUAGUCAAUCAUCCAAGGGUGAGAGUGAAGCCACGUGUACUGCUGAACCUCAACCAUUUAAGAGGCAAAGGCGUGUUUCUUUAAAACGCGAUUUACAACCCGAACUUAAUUCCAACAGACCAAGCCCACAAGUCUCAAUUUGGGCCAGCAAGAAAUGGUGAGGCAACCCAACUAAUAUACCAAUCUCCACCUUGCUGAAAUAUUUCUUGGUCUUUACUAGUGAAUCUAGAGCUAUAGCAACUGUUAGCUCAUUUGCUCUAAAUACGUGCAAAAAUAAAAUAAACACAUUAGUUCAAAUCUUUCCAAUGCUAAACACUUGAAGUUCUGAUUUUUACUAUCUCAAGUAAUAUUCAGAAUCUUCAAGCAAUUUUGAAAUUUACUCGAAGGUAAUACCUUAGUUCCAAAAUCUGAAGGGUUAAAUUCUGUAGGAAUUUUGACUAGACUUAUCAAACCUUUUUCUGCCAUAUUUCUCACAAAGUGAAAUUUUAUAUCUAUAUGUUUAGUUUUGUCAUGGUAGACAUGAUUUUUACUCAAAUAUAUGGCACUUUGGUUAUCUGUAUAAAUCCUAACAAUAUUAUUUUCAAAAACCUAUUUCAUUUAACAAACCCCUAAGCCAAAGACUUUCUUUUACUGCAUCACAAGCAGCAAUAUAUUCAGCUUCUGUAGAGGAAAGAGCAACUAAUUUUUGCAGUUGUGAUUUCCAACUAAUGCACCCAUCACACAAAGUGAAAACAUAUAAAGAUAUUGACCUUGUUUUAUCUAAAUCACCAGCAAAAUCAAAAUCAGUGUAGCCCUUUAACUUUACCCCUUCAUUGCUUAUUUUAAACAUUAAACCUAAAUCAGAGUUUCCUUUUAAGUAUCUUAGCAUCCACUUCAUGGCUAACCAGUGUGUUUCACCUGGAUUUGACAUAAACCUACUCAAGGUACUAAUGUCAUGAGCUAAGUCAGGUCUGGUACAGACCAUAAGGUACAUUAUUAAUCCUACAGCAUUUGCAUAAGGAAUCUUUUCCAUUCUUAUAAAUUCUUCAUCUGUUUUAGGUGAACUUUCACUUGACAGUUUAAAACGAUUAGCAAUGGGUAAGGUUACAGGUUCACACUCAAGCAUUGUAAACUUUUCAAGUAUUUUCUUUACAUAUAUGCCUUGUUUCAAUAUUAACAUGCAAUUAUUCCUAUCUCUUUCUAUUUCCAUUCCAAGAAUCCUUUUUGCUUGUCCUAGAUCUUUCAUUUCAAAUUCAGAUUUUAAUUUUGAUUUAAUGAAGUUAAUUUCAGAUCUAUCAUGGCAGGCAAGUAACAUGUCAUCAACAUAUAAUAACAGAUAAAUGGAUUCAAAUCCACCUGAACCUUUAUAGAUAAAACAGGAAUCAUAAUUAUUUUUGACAAAACCCAAAGUCUGCACAUAGGAGUUAAAUUUGAUGUACCAUUGCUUGGGAGUCUGUUUUAGUCCAUAGAGGGACUUCUUCAACAAACAAACCUUAUUGAUCUUAGACUUUAUUUCAAACUCCGGAGGUUGACUCAUGUAUAUGGUUUCAUCAAGAUCCCCAUUGAGGUAAUACCAAUUUUGAAAGGCAAUUUUUUCUGUUUUCCAAAUACACAAAUUUCACAAAAAUCCAAACCCUUAACAUUAUCCUUGCCAAAACAUCUAAGUUUAUUUAAGAUUAUUAGUCCCUUUUUUGAGAUGUGACCAAGUCUUUUGUGCCAAAUUAAAGACUUGUUGGAAUCAGAGUUUAAGGCUGUAGAACACUAGUCUCUCACAGAUUGAGCACAUACAGUAUAUAUGCCAUUUAUCUUUUGAGAAGAUAUGAUAGUUUUAUUUCCUUGCAUAAGUGUUAAAAAAACCUUUAUGAAUCAUAAUGCUGUAGUUAUCAUCGAGCUCACCCAAGGAAAUAAGACUUCUUUUUAACUUUGGGACAUAUCUGGUGUUCUCAACUUCUAGGGUACAAUUGUUAUUUAAUGAGAGUUUGACCUUUCCAAUCCCCUUAAUUUGACAACUCAUGUCAUUUUCCAUCUGAAUUUGUCCUCCAUUUAGAUCAACUAAUUCAAAAAAAAAUUCUCUUGUGGGACACAUGUGAAAGGUGCAGUCAGAGUCAAGGACACAUUCAUUUAGGUCUCUUCUGGUGGCUGUUACCAAAACAACCCCUUGAAUAUCAUAUUCAUUUCUGCAGGCUACAGCUGCAGAUCCCUCAGUAUUAGUAUUCUCUUUCAUAUCUGAGAUUUUCUUGAAGCAGUCUUCUAUUACAUGGCCAGUUUUACCACAGUAAUAACAUUUCCUGAUCUGGUUUUUAGUUUUCCAUUGAUUCUUAUUCUUUCCCUUAGAUCUGGAGAAUUGAGUUUUCCCUUUCUUAUUUAAAUUUUGAUUUAAGGGAUAUUUUUUCUUAUUUUGGUUCUGUUUCUCCUUUAUGAAUAACCCCUUACCAUACCUAGAGUCUUUAGACUCGGAUUUUAUUUCAAGUUCUCUAUUUUCUCAGGAUUGAGGUUAUUCUAUCAAUUAUUUCAAGUUCUCUAUUUCUCAGGACUGAGGUUAUUCUAUUAAUGGUAAUUUCUUGUCCCCCAUGUUUUAAUGCAUUUCUAAUGUCUCUAUACUUAUCACUUAGUGAAUUUAACAAUGCCAUAGCUUGUUGAUCAUCAGAAAUUUCUUCAUCACAGUUAGUCAAGUCCUGAAUCAGUUUUGUGAAUCUGUUAAGGUUAUCUUCCAGAUUUGAGGUAGGAUCAAAUCUAAAAUUAUAGAAUUGCCUUAGAAGGUAGUAUUUAUUAGACAUGGUUCUAAUUAGAUAUAAUGUUCCUAACUUAGUCCAAAGAGCCUGAGCAGAAGUAGUUUCUCCAACUUUCCUAAUUACACUAUCAGAUAAGUGCAAGAAACUUUACUUUUUCCAACUUUCCUAAUUACACUAUCAAUAAUUUAUGAAACUUCCCCCCAAGUCUCCAAUUCUUAUACUAGAAACUUUACUUUUUCCAACUCCGAAACAAUCCAGUGUGCACCAUAUUGUCUCAUAACAAAUGAAGCAAGUUAUGUAAUGAAACAAGCUAUCGAACCCAACUUACUCCUUACAGUUGUUAAACUCUUGACAUGUGUACGUAUGCACAUAUUCACAGAAGUAUGUCAAAAUAUGAUACUUCAUAACAUAUAUUGUUUCGUGUUAGAACUUAAAUAAAGGAGCAAAAUACAUUACAAUGUUGCCUCUUGCAUUUUAUACUUAACAUAGGAUAAUAUUUUUACCAAUCUAUAAGAACAUGACGUGCAUUGUUGAAUUCACCAUUUGAGAAAGAAAACAUGUCAAAUUGAUGUAUAAAGUACAAUGUCACUUGCAUGAUGUAAUAGAAUACGAUACCAUGUUACAUUAUGAAUUUUUCACCACUUCACGUUUCAAAUCAAAAUAUCAAAACAUGAGAAAAUGCUAUUAUCUUGUUCAGUUCAUAUUUGACACGAUGUAUCAAAAACAUGCAUAUUACUAUUGGUAACAUGAUUACAAAGAAAUUUAUAUUUCUCCAAUCAGACCAAUAUACAUCCGAGUUGCUGGAUCAAUCACCUUUGGCGCGCUCGCAACCUCAGCGUGGAGAGUUCGAUUCCUGGUGAGAACCUUUGAUCCAAUAAAGGGGCAAUUUAUUGGUGGAUUAAUCACGAUGGAGGAAAGCUCUCUUGAGGCCAGGAGUUUAGACCGGGUGGGAAUUUGUGAUCCAACAAGGGCACAAUCUGCGGUUUACCUCCGCUAGUCACUGAGGGGCCGUUGGCUAGGGGUCCAGGAUUUAGUCUGGCGAAUCUGGGACACCUGGGUAUCAAAAAAAAUAAUAAUAAAGCAUUAUAGACGAUUAUGUAAUACCUUGAGGCGCAUGAAAUGAAAAUUUCCAUAGAUGUUUCUUAUUACAGUCGGAGUAGAGAGUUUGAAAUUAAAAAAAAAAUAAAAAAAAAAUUGUGAUUUUUGACAGUGGAGAAAUAUGAACCUAAGUGCUAUUCGCAACUUAUGUGAAUUUAGUUUUCAAAUUCAAUGUUUGGCUAUUUUAUGCAGUUCUAUUUAAAAAAUGUCAAUAUUUUCCUUUCUGUGCGGAGUCAAUUACUUUAAGAGAUGCUAGAUGAUGGAUUCCAGUUAUUUUGAAAAAUUUAUCACAAAUAUUCAAUAGUUUGGCG